This 196-nucleotide unclassified non-coding RNA is filed under the name plant metagenome. RNAcentral's name for it is "partial contains small subunit ribosomal RNA and internal transcribed spacer 1". The stretch from base 1 to 46 matches the Rfam family "Eukaryotic small subunit ribosomal RNA", at positions 1786 to 1831 of the family's 1831-position model. The record is from RNAcentral.
AAGUCGUAACAAGGUUUCCGUAGGUGAACCUGCGGAAGGAUCAUUACCGGGUCACGGGGCGCCUCGGCGCCCCUCACCAGCCCUUUGCCUCCAGCCUUCUCCUCGAUUGGCGCGAAAAGGGGCCCCUGAUCGGGGCCCUUGCCGAGCACAACUCUGAACAACGAUGCAGUCUGAAGUAAAAAGCAAACAAUUAAAA